CAGCCGCCGCGGUAAUACGGAGGGCGCGAGCGUUGUCCGGAUUUACUGGGCGUAAAGCGUGCGCAGGCGGCCCGUUAAGACAGGUGUGAAAUCCCUGGGCUCAACCUAGGAAUUGCGCUUGUGACUGGCGGGCUCGAGUACGGUAGAGGGGGGUGGAAUUCCUGGUGUAGCAGUGAAAUGCGUAGAGAUCAGGAGGAACACCGAUGGCGAAGGCAGCCCCCUGGGCCUGUACUGACGCUCAUGCACGAAAGCGUGGGGAGCAACCAGGAUUAGAUACCCUGGUAGUCCACGCCCUAAACGAUGGGUACUAGCCGUUUGGUGCGCGAUAGCGCUGAGUGGCGAAGCUAACGCGUGAAGUACCCCGCCUGGGGAGUACGGCCGCAAGGUUGAAACUUAAAGGAAUUGGCGGG
This 410-nucleotide ribosomal RNA is filed under the name uncultured microorganism. RNAcentral describes it as "bacterial SSU rRNA". It matches the Rfam family "Bacterial small subunit ribosomal RNA", at positions 509 to 917 of the family's 1533-position model. The record is from RNAcentral.